GACGGUGAAAUCAUGACCUGAGCCGAAGUCGGACACUUAACUGACUGAGCCACCCAGGCGCCCCUGAUGCGAGGUUUUCUAAUCCACAGGCUGUGGUCGGGUUUCACUAAUUGUCUCAGUGAUGGUCAUCACGGCUGCAUUUUUUUUCUGGUCCAGGAGCCAGUCUAGGAUCACCUGUUACAUUUAGUUGUCAGGUCUCCUUAGUUUCUUUUAACCUGAAACACUCCCUCAGUGUCUCAGGACUCAAAAAAGCAUGUUUAAGGAGUCAGGCAGGUUGCUUUGCAGAGUGUCCCCCAGCUAGAGCUCAUGUGCUAUUUCCUUGCCCUCAGAUUCAUAUUAUGCCUUUCUGGCAGGAACAGCACAGAAGUGAUGAGGAGCCCCACUCAGUGCCGUGAGCCAAGAGGCACCUGCUUCUGCUGUUUUGUCGUUACUGUUGUUGAUACUGAUGACCUGGGAGACGUGGGGGUCUCAUUUAGUUUGUCAACCUCGGUUUUCACGUCACCUCUUCAAAGGAAGCUUUCUUAGCCUCCCGCACCCCUCUUCCAGGCACCCACAGGUCUGGGGGCGCUGUUCCUAUAACACCAUUCUCAGUGACUCGAUCUAAUCCUGGUGGUUGUGUUCCUGUGUCCCCCACUCUGCUGCAAGCUCUGUGAGAGCAGGGACCACAUCUUGUUCACCAGGGCAGCCCCCGCUCCCAGUUCAGGGCCUGGCACGUAGUAGGUGUUUCAUACAUAAUGCUGAGUGAAUGAAAGAGUGUGUGAGACUAUCCUUGAACAGGUCCAGUCACAAAGCAAACCCCCACCCAGCUCUCUCCGGAUCAGGCUUUGUGGCUUUUUCUGCUUUACUCGUGGAGCAUGGCUAAGUUUUUUUUUAUUUCUUUUUAUGCCGGGUUCUCGCUGAAAGCAUGAAAGUCUUGACUAAAGCCCAAUAAAGAGGCACCAUGUUUAUCCUUCCCUUGGGGAAUCACAGGACGGACCGAUUUUAGAAACUUCGAACCCCAGUUUAAGAUUUUCCCAUUUGCUUCUUCUUGGCGUGUGGGAGGGUCAGGGUGGGGGAGAUUCUCUGGGUCUUUUCUCAUGUGAAAUAUUUGGACCUGAAAGAGCAGCACGAAGCAUCUUUGGUGGGCAGGGGGGCCCACAGCCCGGUGGCCUCUGUCCAGCCACACCAGCCAUGCACCGCACCCCGGGUCGGGAAGUGAUUCAAGGGCUGUCCCGAAGCCUCUCAGGAGGUCACUCUCUCCCUUUGUUGUUUCAGACGCAGGAGGAGGGAGACGCACUGAUGUUGUCAUCAGACCUCUCCCGAAGCUUCUGCCAUCUCAUGGUCUCCAGGGGCUGGGGCUACGGCUCCCCACAAGCCUGCUGCAAGGAAACCCCACCCCCCCGGACGUGCGGUUCCUGGAGACCGGCCAUCCUCUCUGCACCGUUUUGCUAUUUGUGAAACCUAGGACAGCACCACCCCCUCAGCUGGAUCCUCCCCUGGCUCCCGCGGAAAAGCCACCGCUGGGAAUGGCUGUGCGACCAGGGCUUUGUGGCUUUUGAAUAACGGCUGUCGUGCGUUGUUUCUGGGUGGACAUGUCCUAGUCCAUCAGGCCUCCCCUGCCAGCAGGGUAAGUUGCCAGCAUAACUCUUCUCUGCAAGUUAAGAAUGGAUGUCUUGACAUUUGAACAGUAAUACCACGGCUAACGCUGAAAACACGUACAAGGUUGAAGCUAGAAUCUUUCCUGGUUUGGCGUGCACCAAAUUGGAAACCUUCAUCGACCACAUCCUGCAACACCGAGGACCCAAUCACAGCUCCACCAUGUAGCAAACAGAACAAGAGAAAAGGUCUAUUUGAGAAAAGAAUAUCUUAUCCAUAUUUCCUCUGCUCACAGAACAUUCGUUACUAUCACAGAUUCGCAAGAACAAGCUCACACACACCAAAUACAGAAGAAAGUCAUUUUGGGAAAACACAACACCCAGGCUGACACCGAAGGACUGCUGCUUGGCGUGCCUGGCUUUCUGGUGGACCCGCUGAUGGCGAACCAGGCUGUGCUUCAGGGUGAAGGUCCGCUCGCACGUCUGACAUUUGUAUGGCCUUUCUCCUGGAGCAACAGGAGAAAAGAAGUCACGUCAAUGAUUCUUCUCUGGAAAUAGAUAACGAAAUGACCCGCGAGGCAGCAGAGUUCACCGUCCUCUCACGCUGAAAGAAGUGCCAAGUAUGUGCGACUCUGCUAUCCUUAUCGCGCGGUGGCAGGCCCCAGCAAGCGAGGUCCUGCUGUGCGUCCACCUCUCCUAUCUCCGCUGCUACCUCGGCCGCGUCUCACCAUCAAGACUCCUGUCAUCAUUCAAUUAAAUUUAGAAUGCUGGGUUCCCAUGAGCCACUCAAAACACAAAGCUCCUUCUGGGGGAACGGUGCUGAGGUCACCAACCGUGAGACGCUCUAGGGCCCCCACAGUACGGCUACGUCUCCCUCCCUGGCCAUCCCUUGCACGCAGCCCACGUUCCGGGGGGAUGGCCCCCCAACCACAGGGAACCCUGCCCAAAACACUCAGAGUGCUAAGUCCUAGGCUGUGAGAAAGUUAAGCAGGGAAGCAGUGUGUCUGUGGCUCCUCAGGCGAGGCUCUCCUUCUGUCCAGAACACGCUCAAGUUCCAAGCUGCAUGUGUGGAGGGGCCGUGACCUCGAUGCCCCAUGGCAACUCUGUCCUUUCCUGUUGCUCUGGAAACGUUUUUCUCUUCUAUGGAAACGUUUUUCUCUUCUAUCAUGGGGACUUCAGUCCCCCCAGACCCAAGUUCAAUUGCACACUCCUCGUAGUCCCCAACCCAUCCCCAUGCCAGCAGUCAGCUGAACACUCUGUACUGACCUGAAGGGACGAGAGAAAUGCCUGAAUUCAGGAAAUUUAGCGCUGAUCAGAUACAUAUGAUAGUAAGAAAUCCCUGUUACUUUUUGAAGUUGUGACAAUAUUUUGGUUACGUCUUUUUUUUUAAACAUCCCUUUCCUUUAGAGGUAAUGUAAUGAAAUACUGUUAUGUGAAAUGUGAUGCCUGGGAUUUGUUUUGAAAUGAUCUGGGAUGGGGGAAGAGGCGAAACACGAUGGGCUGAUGGGCCGUGAGUUGGUAAUUCCUGAAAAUGGGGGGAGGGUGCGUGAGAGGGUCAUGACACUGUGCUCUCUACUUGUGCAUAUGUUUGAAAUGUUCCUGAUACACUUAAAAGAGAGAAACAUCUAAUUACAAA
This is a non-coding RNA of Puma concolor (puma), 3210 nucleotides long. The record is from RefSeq and is a predicted model, not a curated record. NCBI's taxonomy places the organism in Eukaryota, Metazoa, Chordata, Mammalia, Carnivora, Felidae.